Molecule: non-coding RNA, 120 nt
Organism: Podospora appendiculata
Lineage: Eukaryota; Fungi; Ascomycota; Sordariomycetes; Sordariales; Podosporaceae
Source: the annotation of a GenBank genome assembly
GGCGGUGUAGUAUAGUGGUCAGUACAUGCCGUGACAGUGGCCGGACAUCAGAUGCCCUGAUCCAGCAGAGAUGUACCCCCCACUGACGACAAGGUCCUGGUUCAAGUCCAAGCGCCGCCA